RNAcentral lists this ribosomal RNA (380 nucleotides) under Gammaproteobacteria bacterium. Its description in RNAcentral is "bacterial SSU rRNA". It matches the Rfam family "Bacterial small subunit ribosomal RNA", at positions 1 to 363 of the family's 1533-position model. The record is from RNAcentral. Lineage: Bacteria; Pseudomonadati; Pseudomonadota; Gammaproteobacteria.
UUUACGGAGAGUUUGAUCCUGGCUCAGGACGAACGCUGGCGGCGUGCCUAAUACAUGCAAGUCGCACGAGGACCAGGUGCUUGCACCUGGAGCCGAGUGGCGAACGGGUGAGUAACACGUGACCAACCUGCCGUCGGGUGGGGGACAACCUGGGGAAACCCGGGCUAAUACCGCAUGACAUCCGCGUCCCGCAUGGGAUGCGGACCAAAGGGGGCCUCUGCUUGCAAGCUCCCGCCGGGCGAGGGGGUCGCGGCGUAUCAGCUUGUUGGUGAGGUAACGGCUCACCAAGGCGAUGACGCGUAGUGGGUCUGAGAGGACGACCCGCCACAUUGGGACUGAGAUACGGCCCAGACUCCUACGGGAGGCAGCAGUAGGGAAUA